CUGCCUCCUCAGCUACAAGUCAGUGCUCAUGCAGACUUGGAGUGCAGACAUGAAUCGUGCGCUUGUAUGUGUGCUGAUGGCCGCUUGGAGCCUCGGAAGCAACGGCCAGACGGUGCACCAGCCGACACCGGACGUGCAAACAGUGGAGGGUGAAACAGUGACGCUGGAAUGUAGCUACGACAGAUUGGGGGGGAGCAACGACUACAUCUUUUGGUACAAACAAGAAGCAAACGCAGCGCCCGAGUUCAUGCUGAGCCGAUUGAAGCUCGAUCAAGGCAAAACGGAGGAAAAGUACGCAAAGAGGUUUCACUGUAGAGUGAACGACAGUACCUCGCAAGCUCCUCUGCAUAUCGACAAUGUGAAGCCCAGCGACUUGGGAGUCUUCUACUGCGCCCUGCAGCCCACGCUGACACAUCCACUGACGUGCCUGUACAAAAACACCUGCACCCGCCUUAUUUCACAAGUUACAGUAAAUGGGUCACAGUGUAGCAGAGCUACAAUUCAGUGGGAUGACAUACUAAAAACUCAGCGUGAGGAUGAUAUUUUUGUUGUGAACCAACAGGCCUUAAAAUUUACUUUGUAACGAAGUGGGAGAAACAACAAUGUGUAUAUUCUGUUAGGUUAGACAAACUCAUAUACUUUUUCAUGUUC
Molecule: non-coding RNA, 651 nt
Organism: Syngnathus acus (greater pipefish)
Lineage: Eukaryota; Metazoa; Chordata; Actinopteri; Syngnathiformes; Syngnathidae
Source: the annotation of a RefSeq genome assembly